Molecule: ribosomal RNA, 425 nt
Filed under: uncultured bacterium
Lineage: Bacteria
Description: partial 16S ribosomal RNA
Rfam family: Bacterial small subunit ribosomal RNA
Source: RNAcentral
GUGGGGAAUCUUGCGCAAUGGGCGAAAGCCUGACGCAGCAACGCCGCGUGCGGGAUGAAGGCCUUCGGGUUGUAAACCGCUUUCAGCAGGGACGAAAAUGACGGUACCUGCAGAAGAAGCUCCGGCUAACUACGUGCCAGCAGCCGCGGUAAUACGUAGGGAGCAAGCGUUGUCCGGAUUUAUUGGGCGUAAAGAGCUCGUAGGCGGUUUCGUAAGUCGAGUGUGAAAAAUCUGGGCUUAACCCAGUGUAGCACUCGAUACUGCGAUGACUUGAGUCUGGUAGAGGAGUGUGGAAUUCCUGGUGUAGCGGUGAAAUGCGCAGAUAUCAGGAGGAACACCAACGGCGAAGGCAGCACUCUGGGCCAGUACUGACGCUGAGGAGCGAAAGCGUGGGGAGCAAACAGGAUUAGAAACCCCUGUAGUCC